Molecule: non-coding RNA, 28 nt
Filed under: Rattus norvegicus (Norway rat)
Lineage: Eukaryota; Metazoa; Chordata; Mammalia; Rodentia; Muridae
Source: RNAcentral
UGUUUGGUUAGAGUAGCAAACUAGGAGC